GGAAGAGCCAUAGCUCAGUGGUACAGCAUUUGCUUUGCAUGCAGAAGGGCUCAGGUUUAUCCCUGAUAUUUCCA
Non-coding RNA from Podarcis lilfordi (Lilford's wall lizard), 74 nucleotides. The record is from the annotation of a GenBank genome assembly. NCBI's taxonomy places the organism in Eukaryota, Metazoa, Chordata, Lepidosauria, Squamata, Lacertidae.